This is a non-coding RNA of Triticum aestivum (bread wheat), 116 nucleotides long. The record is from Rfam. Lineage: Eukaryota; Viridiplantae; Streptophyta; Magnoliopsida; Poales; Poaceae.
AAAGUACUCCCUCCGUUCGGAAUUACUCGUCGAAGAAAUGAAUGUAUCUAGAUGUAUUUUAAUUGUAGAUACGUCCAAUUUUAGUGACAAGUAAUUCCGAACGGAGGGAGUAGAAC